Molecule: ribosomal RNA, 510 nt
Filed under: uncultured bacterium
Lineage: Bacteria
Description: bacterial SSU rRNA
Rfam family: Bacterial small subunit ribosomal RNA
Source: RNAcentral
GAGUUUGAUCAUGGCUCAGAUUGAACGCUGGCGGCAGGCCUAACACAUGCAAGUCGGGCGGUAGAGAGAAGCUUGCUUCUCUUGAGAGCGGCGGACGGGUGAGUAAUGCCUAGGAAUCUGCCUGGUAGUGGGGGAUAACGCUCGGAAACGGACGCUAAUACCGCAUACGUCCUACGGGAGAAAGCAGGGGACCUUCGGGCCUUGCGCUAUCAGAUGAGCCUAGGUCGGAUUAGCUAGUUGGUGAGGUAAUGGCUCACCAAGGCGACGAUCCGUAACUGGUCUGAGAGGAUGAUCAGUCACACUGGAACUGAGACACGGUCCAGACUCCUACGGGAGGCAGCAGUGGGGAAUAUUGGACAAUGGGCGAAAGCCUGAUCCAGCCAUGCCGCGUGUGUGAAGAAGGUCUUCGGAUUGUAAAGCACUUUAAGUUGGGAGGAAGGGCAGUAAAUUAAUACUUUGCUGUUUUGACGUUACCGACAGAAUAAGCACCGGCUAACUCUAGUGCCAGCA